Molecule: long non-coding RNA, 231 nt
Filed under: Brassica napus (rape)
Lineage: Eukaryota; Viridiplantae; Streptophyta; Magnoliopsida; Brassicales; Brassicaceae
Description: long non-coding RNA (BNAP_LNC009428)
Source: RNAcentral
GUUGUAAUAUUCCAGGAUUAAUAUACAGGGGAUGUACUUGACUCAAAUUAAAGAAUAAGCUUUUCGGUCCUAAAUUUAAUGCCUGCAUUUUCUCGGUUCGUAAUUUCCUCCAAUAAUUGAAAUCUACCUUUCAAAAUUUUGACUAAAUUAACACUAAACAGAGCUAAACUGUAUACAAAAUAAUUAACUUCCUUAUACUACAAUAAACAACCACCACACCUCUGAUUCAUU